ACUCUGGAUUCUUNGUAACAAAGGUCCACUUUAUGCUUUGAAUAUAGCCCUUGCUGCUCUGCCACCGCAACUUGUUUUUAAAAUGGUCCUGUUUCUUUAUCCUCCUCUCUCCCUGAUCUCUCCCCCUCCCAAAUUUCAGGGGAAACAGGGUUAUCUUUCUUCCCCAUCCUAAAUAGAGUUAUCUGUUCUUGAGCACACACCCAUCACAGGAAUGAAGUAAUUCAAACUUUGGGGAUGGCACCAGAAGGUCUCAGAAAUGACUCCCUCACAAAUUAACAAGUGAAUUACAACUCCAACAGAGAGCAUGUGUAAUGUAGCCUUGGAAUCGCCUCUUUAAAAGCCCCCUGUUCUUCUUGAUGGGCAGAAUCACAGUCUCUGGAACAGGAACCCCUGUGUUUCUCCUUU
RNAcentral lists this long non-coding RNA (405 nucleotides) under Marmota monax (woodchuck). The record is from RNAcentral. Lineage: Eukaryota; Metazoa; Chordata; Mammalia; Rodentia; Sciuridae.